Molecule: ribosomal RNA, 500 nt
Filed under: uncultured bacterium
Lineage: Bacteria
Description: partial 16S ribosomal RNA
Rfam family: Bacterial small subunit ribosomal RNA
Source: RNAcentral
AUUGAACGCUGGCGGAAUGCUUUACACAUGCAAGUCGAACGGCAGCACGGACUUCGGUCUGGUGGCGAGUGGCGAACGGGUGAGUAAUACAUCGGAACGUGCCCAGUCGUGGGGGAUAACGUAGCGAAAGCUACGCUAAUACCGCAUACGAUCUACGGAUGAAAGCGGGGGAUCGCAUGACCUCGCGCGAUUGGAGCGGCCGAUGGCAGAUUAGGUAGUUGGUGGGGUAAAGGCUCACCAAGCCGACGAUCUGUAGCUGGUCUGAGAGGACGACCAGCAACACUGGGACCGAGACACGGCCCAGACUCCUACGGGAGGCAGCAGUGGGGAAUUUUGGACAAUGGGCGCAAGCCUGAUCCAGCCAUUCCGCGUGCAGGAUGAAGGCCCUCGGGUUGUAAACUGCUUUUGUACAGAACGAAAAGGCUCUGGUUAAUACCUGGGGCUCAUGACGGUACUGUAAGAAUAAGCACCGGCUAACUACGUGCCAGCAGCCGAAGUAA